Molecule: ribosomal RNA, 3020 nt
Filed under: Haemophilus influenzae
Lineage: Bacteria; Pseudomonadati; Pseudomonadota; Gammaproteobacteria; Pasteurellales; Pasteurellaceae
Description: bacterial LSU rRNA
Rfam family: Bacterial large subunit ribosomal RNA
Source: RNAcentral
GUUGUAUAGUUAAGUGACUAAGCGUACAAGGUGGAUGCCUUGGCAAUCAGAGGCGAAGAAGGACGUGCUAAUCUGCGAAAAGCUUGGAUGAGUCGAUAAGAGGCGCUUAAUCCAAGAUAUCCGAAUGGGGAAACCCAGUAGAUGAAGAAUCUACUAUCAACAAGUGAAUUCAUAGCUUGUUGAGGCAAACCGGGAGAACUGAAACAUCUAAGUACCCCGAGGAAAAGAAAUCAACCGAGAUUUCGUCAGUAGCGGCGAGCGAAAGCGAAAGAGCCAGUAAGUGAUAGCAGUAUAGUGAGGAGAAUGUGUUGGGAAGCACAAUCAAAGAGGGUGAUAAUCCCGUAUCUAAAAACCAUAUUGUGGUACUAAGCUAACGAGAAGUAGGGCGGGACACGUGAUAUCCUGUUUGAAGAAGGGGGGACCAUCCUCCAAGGCUAAAUACUCCUGAUUGACCGAUAGUGAACCAGUACUGUGAAGGAAAGGCGAAAAGAACCCCGGUGAGGGGAGUGAAAUAGAACCUGAAACCUUGUACGUACAAGCAGUGGGAGCCCCAUCACUUAAUCCGAUUGGAAGGUGAUGAAAAGCAACCGCACUUAAACAAUGGUAAGAGGAGCGAAGCGAGUCAAACCACCCAAAAGAAGCAGUGGGAUUAAGUGAUGGGGUGACUGCGUACCUUUUGUAUAAUGGGUCAGCGACUUAUAUUUUGUAGCGAGGUUAACUGAAUAGGGGAGCCGAAGGGAAACCGAGUCUUAACUGGGCGAGUAGUUGCAAGGUAUAGACCCGAAACCCGGUGAUCUAGCCAUGGGCAGGUUGAAGGUUGGGUAACACUAACUGGAGGACCGAACCGACUAAUGUUGAAAAAUUAGCGGAUGACUUGUGGCUGGGGGUGAAAGGCCAAUCAAACCGGGAGAUAGCUGGUUCUCCCCGAAAUCUAUUUAGGUAGAGCCUUGAGGUGACACCUUUGGGGGUAGAGCACUGUUUCGGCUAGGGGGCCAUCCCGGCUUACCAACCCGAUGCAAACUACGAAUACCAAAGAGUGAUACUCAGGAGACACACGGCGGGUGCUAACGUCCGUCGUGGAGAGGGAAACAACCCAGACCGCCAGCUAAGGUCCCCAAGUCUAUAUUAAGUGGGAAACGAAGUGGGAAGGCUUAGACAGCUAGGAUGUUGGCUUAGAAGCAGCCAUCAUUUAAAGAAAGCGUAAUAGCUCACUAGUCGAGUCGGCCUGCGCGGAAGAUGUAACGGGGCUGAAAUAUAGCACCGAAGCUGCGGCAUCAGAAUUUAUUCUGUUGGGUAGGGGAGCGUUGUGUAAGCGGAAGAAGGUUCAUCGAGAGGUGGGCUGGACGUAUCACAAGUGCGAAUGCUGACAUAAGUAACGAUAAAACGGGUGAAAAACCCGUUCGCCGGAAGACCAAGGGUUCCUGUCCAACGUUAAUCGGGGCAGGGUGAGUCGGCUCCUAAGGCGAGGCUGAAAAGCGUAGUCGAUGGGAAACAGGUUAAUAUUCCUGUACUUGGUAAAGCUGCGAUGUGGGGACGGAGUAGGUUAGGUUAUCGCACUGUUGGAUAUGUGCGUUUAAGUUGGUAGGUGGGAAGUUUAGGCAAAUCCGGGCUUCCUUAACACAGAGAGAUGAUGACGAGGCUCUACGGAGCUGAAGUAACUGAUACCACACUUCCAGGAAAAGCCACUAAGCGAAAGGCUUUACUAAACCGUACUGAAAACCGACACAGGUGGUCAGGUAGAGAAUACUCAGGCGCUUGAGAGAACUCGGGUGAAGGAACUAGGCAAAAUAGCACCGUAACUUCGGGAGAAGGUGCGCCGGCGUAGAUUGUAAGGGCUAGCCCCUGAAGGUUGAACCGGUCGAAGAUACCAGCUGGCUGCAACUGUUUAUUAAAAACACAGCACUCUGCAAACACGAAAGUGGACGUAUAGGGUGUGAUGCCUGCCCGGUGCUGGAAGGUUAAUUGAUGGUGUAAUCGCAAGAGAAGCACCUGAUCGAAGCCCCAGUAAACGGCGGCCGUAACUAUAACGGUCCUAAGGUAGCGAAAUUCCUUGUCGGGUAAGUUCCGACCUGCACGAAUGGCAUAAUGAUGGCCAGGCUGUCUCCACCCGAGACUCAGUGAAAUUGAAAUCGCCGUGAAGAUGCGGUGUACCCGCGGCUAGACGGAAAGACCCCGUGAACCUUUACUAUAGCUUGACACUGAACAUUGAAUUUUGAUGUGUAGGAUAGGUGGGAGACUUAGAAGUAGUCACGCCAGUGAUUAUGGAGUCGACCUUGAAAUACCACCCUUUAACGUUUGAUGUUCUAACGAAGAUGACGAAACGUGGUCUCGGACAGUGUCUGGUGGGUAGUUUGACUGGGGCGGUCUCCUCCCAAAGCGUAACGGAGGAGCACGAAGGUUUGCUAAUCACGGUCGGACAUCGUGAGGUUAGUGCAAUGGUAUAAGCAAGCUUAACUGCGAGACAGACAAGUCGAGCAGGUACGAAAGUAGGUCAUAGUGAUCCGGUGGUUCUGAAUGGAAGGGCCAUCGCUCAACGGAUAAAAGGUACUCCGGGGAUAACAGGCUGAUACCGCCCAAGAGUUCAUAUCGACGGCGGUGUUUGGCACCUCGAUGUCGGCUCAUCACAUCCUGGGGCUGAAGUAGGUCCCAAGGGUAUGGCUGUUCGCCAUUUAAAGUGGUACGCGAGCUGGGUUUAGAACGUCGUGAGACAGUUCGGUCCCUAUCUGCCGUGGGCGUAGGAGAAUUGGUUGGGGCUGCUCCUAGUACGAGAGGACCGGAGUGGACGCACCACUGGUGUUCCGGUUGUGUCGCCAGACGCAUUGCCGGGUAGCUAAGUGCGGAAGAGAUAAGUGCUGAAAGCAUCUAAGCACGAAACUUGCCAAGAGAUGAGUUCUCCCAAUCAAAGAGAUUGUAAGGGUUGUUGUAGACUACGACGUAGAUAGGUCUGGUGUGUAAGUGUAGUGAUACAUUGAGCUAACAGAUACUAAUUGCCCGAGAGGCUUAACUAUACAACGCUCAAG